This 235-nucleotide ribosomal RNA is filed under the name uncultured Thiobacillus sp. Its description in RNAcentral is "partial 16S ribosomal RNA". It matches the Rfam family "Bacterial small subunit ribosomal RNA", at positions 1148 to 1382 of the family's 1533-position model. The record is from RNAcentral. Lineage: Bacteria; Pseudomonadati; Pseudomonadota; Betaproteobacteria; Nitrosomonadales; Thiobacillaceae.
ACUGCCGGUGACAAACCGGAGGAAGGUGGGGAUGACGUCAAGUCCUCAUGGCCCUUAUGGGUAGGGCUUCACACGUCAUACAAUGGUCGGUACAGAGGGUUGCCAAGCCGCGAGGCGGAGCCAAUCCCACAAAGCCGAUCGUAGUCCGGAUUGCUCUCUGCAACUCGAGAGCAUGAAGUCGGAAUCGCUAGUAAUCGCAGGUCAGCAUACUGCGGUGAAUACGUUCCCGGGUCUU